This 245-nucleotide ribosomal RNA is filed under the name uncultured Dongia sp. Its description in RNAcentral is "partial 16S ribosomal RNA". It matches the Rfam family "Bacterial small subunit ribosomal RNA", at positions 524 to 768 of the family's 1533-position model. Lineage: Bacteria; Pseudomonadati; Pseudomonadota; Alphaproteobacteria; Rhodospirillales; Dongiaceae. The record is from RNAcentral.
UACGAGGGGGGCGAGCGUUGUUCGGAAUCACUGGGCGUAAAGAGUGCGUAGGCGGUUAUGAAAGUUAGGAGUGAAAGCCCCAGGCUCAACUUGGGAAUUGCUCUUAAUACUGCAUAACUCGAAUUCGGGAGAGGAUAGCGGAAUUGUCAGUGUAGCAGUGGAAUGCGUAGAUAUUGACAGGAACACCGGUGGCGUAAGCGGCUAUCUGGACCGACAUUGACGCUGAGGCACGAAAGCGUGGGGAU